GACGAACGCUGGCGGCGUGCUUAACACAUGCAAGUCGAACGGAAAGGCCUGCUUUCCCUUGUGGAUUGCGGGUGCUCGAGUGGCGAACGGGUGAGUAACACGUGAGUGAUCUGCCCCCAACUUGGGUAUAAGCCUGGGAAACUGGGUCUAAUUCCCGAUAGGACUGCAGGGUGGUGCCUGUGGUGGAAAACGAUUUUCUAGUGGUUGGGGAUGAGCUCGCGGCCUAUCAGCUUGUUGGUGGGGUAAUGGCCUACCAAGGCGGCGACGGGUAGCCGGCCUGAGAGGGUGGACGGGCACAUUGGGACUGAGAUACGGCCCAGACUCCUACGGGAGGCAGCAGUGGGGAAUAUUACACAAUGGGCGGAAGCCUGAUGCAGCGACGCCGCGUGGGGGAUGACGGCCUUCGGGUUGUAAACUCCUUUCGACCGCGAGGAAGCCACCUGGUUGGAAGGGUGGUGACGGUAGUGGUAGAAGAAGCACCGGCUAACUACGUG
RNAcentral lists this ribosomal RNA (494 nucleotides) under uncultured bacterium. RNAcentral's name for it is "partial 16S ribosomal RNA". It matches the Rfam family "Bacterial small subunit ribosomal RNA", at positions 28 to 507 of the family's 1533-position model. The record is from RNAcentral.